RNAcentral lists this non-coding RNA (27 nucleotides) under Homo sapiens (human). Lineage: Eukaryota; Metazoa; Chordata; Mammalia; Primates; Hominidae. The record is from RNAcentral.
UAUCCCCAAAGGACGGUCCAAACAUGU